Molecule: long non-coding RNA, 647 nt
Filed under: Citrus x clementina
Lineage: Eukaryota; Viridiplantae; Streptophyta; Magnoliopsida; Sapindales; Rutaceae
Description: Citrus clementina (C. clementina) long non-coding RNA (CCLE_LNC000061)
Source: RNAcentral
UUAUAAUUUAAGCUUCCACGGACUUAAUAAAUUAAGCUCCAAAAUUUUCCAUACAAGAAUUUCCCUCAUUUUAUUAUUAACAUUUAACAAUACAUAUAUUUAGCGAUUAACAGAUAAUAUAUAAUAUAGUAUUAUAUACCAUCAAAACAGCAAGAAAAAAAAAAGAAUUCAGGUUGCCGGUUCGCGGUGGAGCUUGGUGAUGGUGGAGGCUGCAACAGCAGAUCCUGGUGAUGGUGGAGGCUGCAACAGCAGAUCCAGCAGCAUCUGACCCGAUAGCAGCGCAUCAGAUCUAGUAGUAGCAGAUCCGGUAGAUAUCCGGCAACAGCAGAUCUGGUAGAUAUCCGGUAACAGCAGAUCUAGUAGCUACGGAUGUUGCGGAGCAGUAGAUCCGGUCGCGGGUUAGGUGGCUACAUGCGCUGGUUGUGCUUCCUCCGCUCUCUUCUCUGCGUUUGUAGGCUGUGAAAGUCAUGAGCGUGAGGAUGAAGAUGUGUUUGUGCACGUGAAGUCAUGAGUGUGAGGAUGAGGGCUGUGAAGAUGAGAGGGCUGUGAAAGUAGCGAGAUAUGGUUGUGUGCGUGGGUUAUAAUUUGAUUUGUUUUUUAUUUGUCAAUUGUUUUUUAGCUAAUUGUUUUUUAGUUGAGACUUUGUG